UUUUUAUGGAGAGUUUGAUCCUGGCUCAGGAUGAACGCUGGCGGCGUGCCUAAUACAUGCAAGUCGAGCGAACAGACGAGGAGCUUG
RNAcentral lists this ribosomal RNA (87 nucleotides) under Staphylococcus epidermidis NIHLM061. RNAcentral describes it as "partial 16S ribosomal RNA". It matches the Rfam family "Bacterial small subunit ribosomal RNA", at positions 1 to 86 of the family's 1533-position model. The record is from RNAcentral. Lineage: Bacteria; Bacillati; Bacillota; Bacilli; Caryophanales; Staphylococcaceae.